This 23-nucleotide non-coding RNA is filed under the name Arabidopsis thaliana (thale cress). The record is from RNAcentral. Lineage: Eukaryota; Viridiplantae; Streptophyta; Magnoliopsida; Brassicales; Brassicaceae.
GAAUAUGAAUGAGCAGGAACCUU